Molecule: non-coding RNA, 166 nt
Organism: Pseudomonas fluorescens
Lineage: Bacteria; Pseudomonadati; Pseudomonadota; Gammaproteobacteria; Pseudomonadales; Pseudomonadaceae
Source: Rfam
CCUCUUUGGGGAGUAGCCUGCCACCGCGCCCUGCGGUGGCGCCCGUAUCAACAUUCUCGGCAACCUGCCGUGGUACGGGCACCGUUUCGGUUGGUGAGACCAUCGACAUACCUGCGCUGAAGUCGGGCGCGUGGGCAUGUCGUGGACUCAAGCCCGACCGGAAGAC